AUGGUCGGAAAGAGCGGAAAGGAGAGGAGAGGAAAAGGACGUGGCCGGCCGGCUGCCGAUAUAAAGCAUAUAGCCGAAGGAAAGCUCACCCCGCACUACUUCUCGGGCGUACGUAGCGCGGCCACACACACACCAGCAGCUAUCGUCGUCGAACACUCGACUCAGAGCCAGCCAGCGGAGGAGAGCGCGCGCGCACGAGCUCUAGCUCGGACCUCCACCAACACUUCGCCGAUCGUUACGAUGGCGAGUCCGGCGUUCCUGCUGCUGCUCUUGCUGGCCGUGUCGAUCACGGGAUCAGACGCGGAGUGGUGCGUGUGCAGGUCGGACGCGAACGAGACGGCGCUGCAGGAGACGCUGGACUACGCGUGCGGGCAGGGCGCGGACUGCGCGCCGGUGGCCACGGGAGGGAGCUGCCACAGCCCCGACUCCGUGGUGGCGCACUGUUCCUACGCGGUCAACAGCUACUACCAGAGGAGCAGCCAGACCAAGGGCGCCACCUGCGACUUCGGCGGCACCGCCACCCUCUCCUCCGCCGAUCCCAGCUCGGGAACCUGCAAGUACCCUGCAACCGCAAGUGCUGCAGGGACGAGCACCGGGAACGGCACGGCGACAGGCACAGGCACCGGCACCAACUCUUCUUCCCCGGGCUCAACAAACCCAGCUACCCCCGGCAUGGGAGGGAGCUUCACCACGCCGAUCGGCAGCGCGUCCGGCCCUACGGCGAGCAUCAUAGGCCCCGAGAGCAGCGGUUUAGGUGCCGCCGCGGCCGCCUUUGCUGGCGUCCGCGGCCUCCUCGGCGUAGCCGUGGCCUCCGUCCUCGCUUUCUAG
This 828-nucleotide ribosomal RNA is filed under the name Triticum aestivum (bread wheat). RNAcentral's name for it is "partial small subunit ribosomal RNA". The record is from RNAcentral. Lineage: Eukaryota; Viridiplantae; Streptophyta; Magnoliopsida; Poales; Poaceae.